CAGUCGCCACGGUAAUACGAAAGGUCCAAGCGUUACUCGGAAUUACUGGACGUAAAGCGCGCGUAGGCGGUCUUGUAUGUCGAUUGUGAAAGCCCCGGGCUCAACCUGGGAACUGCAGUCGAAACUGCAAGACUUGAAUGUUGGAGAGGUUAGGGGAAUACCUAGUGGAGAAGUGAAAUUCGUAGAGAUUAGGUGGAACACCAGAGGCGAAGGCGCCUAACUGGCCAAACAUUGACGCUAAGGCGCGAAAGCGUGGGUAGCAAACAGGAUUAGAUACCCCAGUAGUCCCUGUCUCUUAUAC
RNAcentral lists this ribosomal RNA (301 nucleotides) under uncultured bacterium. RNAcentral describes it as "partial 16S ribosomal RNA". It matches the Rfam family "Bacterial small subunit ribosomal RNA", at positions 509 to 807 of the family's 1533-position model. The record is from RNAcentral.